This 439-nucleotide ribosomal RNA is filed under the name uncultured bacterium. RNAcentral's name for it is "partial 16S ribosomal RNA". It matches the Rfam family "Bacterial small subunit ribosomal RNA", at positions 339 to 795 of the family's 1533-position model. The record is from RNAcentral.
CUACGGGGCGCACCAGUGAGGAAUAUUGCACAAUGGGGGAAACCCUGAUGCAGCAACGCCGCGUGGAGGAUGACGCAUUUCGGUGUGUAAACUCCUUUUAUGAGUCAAGAAAAUGACGGUAGCUCAUGAAUAAGCACCGGCUAACUCCGUGCCAGCAGCCGCGGUAAUACGGAGGGUGCAAGCGUUACUCGGAAUCACUGGGCGUAAAGGACGCGUAGGCGGGCUUGUAAGUCAGGUGUGAAAUCCUACAGCUUAACUGUAGAACUGCACUUGAAACUACGAGCCUAGAGUAUGGGAGGGGCAGAUGGAAUUAGUGGUGUAGGGGUAAAAUCCGUAGAUAUCACUAGGAAUACCUAAAGCGAAGGCGAUCUCCUGGAACAUUACUGACGCUAAGGCGUGAAAGCGUGGGGAGCAAACAGGAUUAGAUACCCUCGUAGUC